Molecule: ribosomal RNA, 460 nt
Filed under: uncultured bacterium
Lineage: Bacteria
Description: partial 16S ribosomal RNA
Rfam family: Bacterial small subunit ribosomal RNA
Source: RNAcentral
CCUACGGGAGGCUGCAGUGAGGAAUAUUGGUCAAUGGGCGCAAGCCUGAACCAGCCACGUAGCGUGAAGGAUGACUGCCCUCCGGAUUGUAAACUUCUUUUAUAAAGGAGUAAAGUGAGGCACGUGUGCCUUUUUGUAUGUACUUUAUGAAUACGGAUCGGCUAACUCCGUGCCAGCAGCCGCGGUAAUACGGAGGAUCCGAGCGUUAUCCGGAUUUAUUGGGUUUAAAGGGAGCGUAGAUGGGUUGUUAAGUCAGUUGUGAAAGUUUGCGGCUCAACCGUAAAAUUGCAAUUGAUACUGGCAGUCUUGAGUACAGUUGAGGUAGGCGGAAUUCGUGGUGUAGCGGUGAAAUGCUUAGAUAUCACGAAGAACUCCGAUUGCGAAGGCAGCGUACUAAACUGCGACUGACAUUGAUGCUCGAAAGUGUGGGUAUCAAACAGGAUUAGAGACCCGAGUAGUC